Camellia sinensis is the source of this 865-nucleotide non-coding RNA. NCBI's taxonomy places the organism in Eukaryota, Viridiplantae, Streptophyta, Magnoliopsida, Ericales, Theaceae. The record is from RefSeq and is a predicted model, not a curated record.
AGUUGGAUUGUAUCUGCUCAGUGCUUUAGUGGACCUAUCACAGGUCAGCCAGUGUGACUGGGGUGGCGCCGGCCUUGCUACCCUUUACUGUUACAUGAGUGAGACCUCCAGCGAGCGAGGGAACAUGGUGGCCACUGGAGAGCCUGGGAGCUAUGGGUUUAUGCAUACUUUCCGACGCUCGCCCCGGAGCUCGAGGUGGAGGUGCCUCUUGUGAUUCCUUACUCUCACGUAUUUGGGGGCCGGUGUCGGCUGAUGGCUCGGGAGACUCUACCCUACCUACGGCAGUUCUUUGAUACGGUGCAGGCGACCGAGAUCACUUGGCAACCCUGGGCGCCCUUGGGAGGAGAUAUCCAUUUCCGAUUCCCUGGGGGGUGGGCCUCUUCCCUAUACAGGACUUUAUUUGAAGGGCUGGUUGGCAGGGCCUGGUUUCUGGGGGAUCGUUUCAUGCGUCAGAUGAUGGGCGUCCCUGAUCAGAGUAUCCCCUCAGCACCUCCAGAGGACAUGCGGUCUACUGAGGGACUCACUCUCGAGGAGGUCGACGUCGUUAUGUUGGGUACUGAUGCGAUUCUGCACAUGGAAGAGGGGGGUACGCGACUUACCACCAUACGUACCUGAUGCCCCCACUGAUAGGUAUCCAUACUCCCACGAGGAGGGCCGCUGGUGCAUCACCGUUGAGUCGAGUCCAGGCUACAGAUAUGCCUUCGACUAGCAGGGCCGGUACAUCGAGAGGUGGUGCUGGACAGAUUCUCCCGAUUCCCCCGACUUAUUAGCAUGCUGAGUGGCCAGAUCUUCCGACCGAGCUGACAGGUUGGCGGUAUGGGACAUCCUACCCAAUUGUAUUAGAGCCUCCAUUGCCUGAUCAUCG